GAUCAUGGCUCAGGAUGAACGCUAGCGACAGGCUUAACACAUGCAAGUCGAGGGGCAGCACGGUGUAGCAAUACACUGGUGGCGACCGGCGCACGGGUGAGUAACACGUGUGCAACCAACCCCGUACCGGGAGAUAACCCGCGGAAACGUGGACUAACAUCCCAUGACACUCUAGAGCCGCAUGGCUCUAGAUUUAAAAUUCCGGUGGUACGGGACGGGCACGCGCGACAUUAGGUAGUUGGCGGGGUAAGGG
This 253-nucleotide ribosomal RNA is filed under the name uncultured bacterium. RNAcentral describes it as "partial 16S ribosomal RNA". It matches the Rfam family "Bacterial small subunit ribosomal RNA", at positions 15 to 263 of the family's 1533-position model. The record is from RNAcentral.